GACGAACGCUGGCGGCGUGCCUAAUACAUGCAAGUAGAACGCUGAAGGAGGAGCUUGCUUCUCUGGAUGAGUUGCGAACGGGUGAGUAACGCGUAGGUAACCUGCCUGUUAGCGGGGGAUAACUAUUGGAAACGAUAGCUAAUACCGCAUAAGAGUAGAUGUUGCAUUACAUUUGCUUAAAAGGUGCAAUUGCAUCACUACCAGAUGGACCUGCGUUGUAUUAGCUAGUUGGUGGGGUAACGGCUCAACAACGCGACGAUUGAUAGCCGACCUGAGAGGGGGAACGGCCACCCUGGGACUGAGACCCGGCCCAGACUCCUAAGGGAGGCAGCAGUAGGGAAUCUUCGGCAAUGGACGGAAGUCUGAACGAGCAAAGCCGCGUGAGUGAAGAAGGUUUUCGGAUCGGAAAGCUCUGUUGUAAGAGAAGAACGAGUGUGAGAGUGGAAAGUUCACAAUGUGACGGUAUCUUACCAGAAAGGGACGGCUAACUACGUG
Molecule: ribosomal RNA, 495 nt
Filed under: uncultured bacterium
Lineage: Bacteria
Description: partial 16S ribosomal RNA
Rfam family: Bacterial small subunit ribosomal RNA
Source: RNAcentral